UCAGAUAUCACUACUCAUUUGAAUCGCUGACAAAAAUGAUAGAAAAUGUAUCACUGGAGCUGAAACAAGACUUGAAAAAGAUAACAUUAGGUCUUGUUGGUGCAGACAAUCAUACUGUUGUGUUUUAUGACAUUUGUAAAGGAAUGGUCUCUCCAAAUGAUAGUCCACUGUCUUUAAAACGUCAGAAAAAAUGA
Amphimedon queenslandica is the source of this 194-nucleotide long non-coding RNA. RefSeq lists it as uncharacterized. Lineage: Eukaryota; Metazoa; Porifera; Demospongiae; Haplosclerida; Niphatidae. The transcript has 3 exons. The record is from RefSeq and is a predicted model, not a curated record.